Heterocephalus glaber (naked mole-rat) is the source of this 4603-nucleotide long non-coding RNA. NCBI's taxonomy places the organism in Eukaryota, Metazoa, Chordata, Mammalia, Rodentia, Bathyergidae. The record is from Ensembl.
CUUGGAUCUCAUUUAUGUGAAACAUCAAGAAUAAGCAGGGCUGGGGAUUUAGCUCAGUGGUUCUGGCGCCUGCCUUGAAAGUGCAAGGUCCCGAGUUCAAUCCCUGGUACUUAAAAAAAAUUAAAAAAAAAAAGAAUAAGCAAAUAAUGUACCAACAGAAGGCAAGUUAAUGGUUGCCAGAGUAUAGCAGGGAGGGAGAAAUGAAGAAUGAUUGCUUAACAGGUAUGUGAUUUUCUUUUGAUGAAAAUAUUCUGCAACUAGACAAUGGCAUUGAAUGCACAAUGCCGUGAAUGUCCUAUGUGUCACUAAGGCUGAAGAAAAUCUAGGGUUCAUCCUAGAAAAGGAACCACUUCUGAACCAAGCCACCUUGGACAGGGAUACAUUCAAGGUCAGCAUGAUGAAUAGGAAUCAGCACAGCAUAGUUGGAAGAUCAUGAGCCUCGGAAUCAGCAAUGGAUUCAAAUUUCACAUCUCACAACAAACUCUAGUUUCUCAUCUUUACUGGGACAAAAAUAAAAAUAUUGAAUUCAGAGUCCUUUUUGAGGCAUACAUGCAACGAAGGGAAAGGACUCCAUAUAGUAUGGUGCUAAGGGUACACAGGGUGGGAUACGUGUGACAAGUUACGAGGAAUGUGGCAUUUAGUUGGAACAGGAGAAGGAGGGUGCCUUCCUCCUGCUCACUGAGUAAAGCAGAAAAGUUUCAGGACUCUGCUUUCCCCUCCUCUCUUCCAAAGUUGCUGCCCAGCCCCUCCUUGGCACAGUUGCUCUGUAGGCUUUGCCCUGAUAUUGCCCCAGCUCCCUGCUCCAAGGUAGAGGGUAGGAGGGGCCUGGCUUAUGUAAAUGAGGCCCAGACUUGGGAGACAUGCUGAAACAUAAAGUUUUUUUGGGGUACAACUAAUAUCCUGAAUCUGGUCCUUUCCCACCAAAGGGCUGGCUUUCCUUAAACGGCUUUGAUCUCUCCUUUCUAUAUUCGCCUCUACACACAUCCAUUCCUAACCCUGAGCUUCUAGAAAGUCUGUGGAUGGGUCCAGCCCCUCCAGGGGCAGCCUUAGUUCGUCCACAACAUUUUGGGAUGUGGUUGUCUCAAAAAUGCCCACUGGAGCAGCAGUGGGGUGAGGCAACACACUAUUCAUUGCUUUCACUUACUAACCUGAACACAAGAAAGUCAGUUUAGGGUUAGAUCACUGGUUCUCCCUCUCCUUCCUUCUGCAUCAGCCACUUGCACAACUAUCCCCAGAAUCAUAAUAUCAGCUGGCAUACAUUAAGUGAACAAUGGGUUUGUAGUCAACCACAAAUCAAACCCAGGGGAUUUAACUUUAUAUUCUAGGCUUUCAGCAUUGCACUAAACCAGAAUAGAGUGCACAAAAAGAUUUUUUUUUUUUGUUAGUACCAGGGAUCGAACUCAGGACCUUGGACUUGCGAGACAGGCGUGGUGCCACUGAGCUAAAUCCCUGGCUUCUGGUUUUUUGCUGUUGUUGUUGUUCUGGGGAUCGAACUUGGGACCUUCCACCAUCACUGAGCUAAAUCCCCAGCCCCGCACAAAAAGAUUUUUAAUGAAAUGUAAAGGUCUGAAUUUUAUGUCAUGAUGCCAAUAUCAAUAGUUACUGGGAUUCAAUCAGUAUCUUUUGAAUGAAACUUGUUAUUUUUACAUUCUAUAAUCAGAGUUUGUAUUGGCACAACCAUCUUUGGAAAAUGUAAUUUGCCCCAAACUAUUGGAAGAUGUUAUAAAAAUUAGACUUUUGUAUAAAAUAUUAGAAUUUAUUCUACCAAUGAAAAGAAAGUAAAAUGUACUCACAAAAUUUCCUUCUUAUUUUGGGUUCCACUUGCAUCUUCAAAGCACCACCUAUCUUAAGGAUUGGUGUGGCCUCCAAGUUACAUUGUUUAUAUGUAGAGAAAUCAAAAAGAUUAUGUGAAUAACUUAGGCUUUCAAAGUUGCAUUUUCUCAUAGAUGAAGGAUGUAUUCUAAACUUGAACCUGAUAUUGAAAAACCCAGAGAAGGAGAAAACUGAUUUUGAUUUAAGAUUCAGAGAGAGAGGCAAAAAUCCCUUUGAGUAUCCCUAUGUUUGAGUGGGGUAGCACAAUGAAUAAGUGCAACUGUGUAGUUGUUCCUACACUGUCCUAGAGCCUUUCAGGCCUGACCUUCCUGAAUAUGACUGUCACCAUUUCCCAGCUAUUACUGCAUGGAAGCCUAACAAGAGCACUAUUGGUGAUACCCAUGUGCAACCUACAAACUCUUCUUUUGGCACAGGCUAUGCUGUGACAUGGAACAGAGGUAGGGUGGGCACUGCCAAAUUCCUUCUCCUCACUAAGAUGAGUACAACUGAACACAUAUCCUUGCCCUGUUUACUGGAGAAACAGGGUGGUCACAAAUACUGAAAAAUGAAACUUACACUAUCAGAAAAAAAAUCAGUUCUAAACCACAAAAAUAAUGAAAGUAAAUUUGAAAGCAUGAUAUAGCAUAGUUGAAAGGAGAAUAUUAUGAUUAUUGAGCAUUUUCCACAGUGUACAUUACUUAAUUUCAUAAUAAAUUCUGUAAACUGGGUGUUAGUAUUAUCUUUAUUUUUUGGAUGGGAAAACUGAGGCUUUGAAAAUUGAAAUAAUUUGUCCACAGCACAUAUCUGUCAGUGGUGAAGUUGGAAUUAAAAUCAAGUCUAACUCUAAAAUCACAAUUUUACCUGCUAAGCAAUACUUCUAGGCCCUCUAAGCCUGCUGUUUGUUACUCUUCUGAAGUCUGGUUGAGUUAUUAUCACCCAACUAGUCACACAAACUCAGAAAUCAUUGUUGACAAGGUCUUCUUCAUCUCUCUCACAUCCACUCUUAAUUUCACAUUCAGGAAGGCUCUGCCACAUGCCAGGUAGUACAGAUAUGAUGGCAAAAAAGAUGGUAAAGAUUCCUGCCCAAGGUAAGCAAGUCAGAGUCUUCUCUGGUGUUCUAAAAUUUGGAAUCAGACAAAACACAUAUCACUGUCCUGGUCUGAAGCAGGGAGAUGCUAGGCCAGUAAGCCUGGUGCAGCUGUUUCUUGUUGUAUGGAGAAAUUCAGAGAGAAGUAAGGGGACACUCAGAAAGAAUCACAAUGACAGGUGGAGAGAGGAGCCCGGCAGUAGGGUCCAUGAUUCUGUUUUCAGCUGUUCCUAGGCCAGUUGCACCCUCCUCUCACCACAGCUAUGUGAGCUUUUGAUAAUUUCCACUUCCUGUUUAAAAUGGUGAGAGUUGUAUUUCAGUCACCUGCAACCCAACCUCUGUUGAGUGAUACAAACCACAACAAAAAGGCAUUUGCUAUCUCACCCUAGGAUAACCUAUUUUUACAUGGUGGAACAUAUUCUCAUAGGAGGAUUUCUGAGAGUACUUGCCCUGCUGACGAAAUCUCUCAUUCCAGCCCUGGCCAUCAAUUCACAGGGAAUGACCUAAUCUGCCACCCCAGUACUCCUCGGCCGACCUGCCUGGCCAUAGUUUACUCAUCCACUUCUGGCUCAUGUUGAGCCAAUCAGAAACCCUGUUCAUAGAAUUUUACGUUCAGACUACAAUUUUAUGUGUAGACACAAUUUUAUGUUUAGACUAUUUUUGUUUGGUCUACAUGGGAACAAUUUCAUCAGGGUGGUAUAGGAAAAAGUUCUGCAGAUCCUGGCUUUUCUUUUCUUUUUUCUUUUCUUUUCUUUUCUUCUUUUCUUCUUUUUUCUGUACUGGAGGCUGAACCCAGGGUCUCACCCAUGCUUCCACUCAGGCAAGCACUCUACCACUGAGCUAUAUCCCUAGCCCUCAACUGUAUCUUCAAAGUACAACUCUUCCUUCAAUUUCUUGAGCUGCUUUAGCCUUUUUAAGCAAAUUUAUUCAAUCCUUUUUUUCUCCCUUGAGGUGGCCCAGGUCGAAAUUAGUUUCUUGGAAAGAAAACAAUUUUACUGCCUUUUAAUUCUUCCAGAUUUUAUUUUUAUUUUUUCUUUUUCAAAUCUUUAUUUAAAAAAUUCCUUUGAGGGCCAGGGAUUUAGCUCAGUGGUUCCAGUGGUUGCCUUGCAAGUGCAAGGACCCGAGUUUGAUCCCUGGUACCAAUUAAAAAAAAAUUCCUUUGUUACAAGUUUAAAUUCAAAGUAAUACAAGAGGAUAUUAAUAAAGAAAAUAUUUUUUAAAAAUAGCCUUUUAUGAAAAAUAAAGCAAAAAUUCAUAAUAAAUAAUUUUAAAAUAACAUUAGUUAAUAUACUGUGUGCCAUAAUCUUAAAAGAAUGGCCAAAAUGUUAGAGUACAAGUCAUAGGCAAAAGAAACUCUUACAAAAAAGAUGCCGGAGAGUUAGCUCAGUGGUUCCGCCACCUGCUUUGCAAGUGCAAGGACCUGAGUUUGAUCUCCGGUACAAAAAAAAAAAAAAAAAAAAAAGGAACAAAUAGACAAUAGCAAUGACCUAAGAGGACCUACCAGUAUAAAUGAAACAAAUUAGCAUAUAUAUUGAAAUAUUUUUGAAACCACAGAAUAUAUAAUUUGGGGAAUUAUUAGAACUUCCAGAUUUUAACUUCUUUUAAUUCUUCUAGAUUUUUCUUUAAGUGUAUGUGCAAAUAUAACACAUAAUGUAAUAAUAUAUGUUAUAGAAUUGUAUUCUAUAAGCUGUUUUGUAAUAUAAG